Molecule: ribosomal RNA, 324 nt
Filed under: uncultured eukaryote
Lineage: Eukaryota
Description: partial 18S ribosomal RNA
Rfam family: Eukaryotic small subunit ribosomal RNA
Source: RNAcentral
CCCCUAGAUGUUCUGGGCCGCACGCGCGCUACACUGAACAGUUCAACAAGUCUUAACCUUGGCCGAUAGGUCUGGGUAAUCUUUGAACGCUGUUCGUGAUUGGGAUAGACCUUUGCAAUUAUGGGUCUUCAACGAGGAAUUCCUAGUAAACGCAAGUCAUCAGCUUGCAUUGAUUACGUCCCUGCCCUUUGUACACACCGCCCGUCGCACCUACCGAUUGAAUGGUCCGGUGAAUAAUUCGGACUGCAGCAGUGUCCAGUUCCUGGACGUUGCAGCGGAAAGUUUAGUGAACCUUAUCACUUAGAGGAAGGAGAAGUCGUAACA